GACAUAUUUCUAAUUAAAUCAUCAUUCUUGCUGAGAGGUUAAUGAAUAGCGUUUUGAGAAGGAAAUUAUACGUGGUACACAUAAAAACUUCGGAAUUGUACAACUUUCUGGCAUGAGGCUCGUAUUAGAAGCAGGUGCUGCAAUGAAGAUCCGAUUCACGCUCUUUAUUGCCUGCUGUCACAAAGAAACGAAUGGAAAUAGACGGCAAUUUGCAAUUUGUUGUGUAGAAAAUAAAGUGCCAUUCGACGAGUAUUCUUAACGUAG
Molecule: long non-coding RNA, 264 nt
Organism: Trachymyrmex septentrionalis
Lineage: Eukaryota; Metazoa; Arthropoda; Insecta; Hymenoptera; Formicidae
Exons: 3
Source: RefSeq, a predicted model, not a curated record